RNAcentral lists this long non-coding RNA (1483 nucleotides) under Chrysemys picta bellii (western painted turtle). RNAcentral describes it as "lncRNA (ENSCPBG00000005812.1)". The record is from RNAcentral. Lineage: Eukaryota; Metazoa; Chordata; Testudines; Emydidae.
AAGCGUGGGGGGAGGGGAGGCAGGCCGUAGUGGUGCAUGGGGUUUAACCCUUUACCUGCCCCCAUGAAAGUAAAGUCAAAUCCCUCCUUCACACAUUUCCGAUGCAGCUGAUUGGGGAGCGCGGUGAACCCGACGGAUUCCUUAUCCUGAGACAGCACCCGGAGUCUGGGGCCCGCAGACCAGCAACAGAACCCAGGAGUCCGGGCUUCCAGCAGCAGGCGCUGGCAGUGGGGGGAAGCUCCCGGCUGCCCCAGCCGCUCCCAGGAGGGGGUGCUCUCCCCUGCAGUCAGGGCUGGGCCCUAGCGGUGACAGAAAGCAGAGAUGCGAGGGUUGGUGUCCCUGAGCCCCAAAGAAACCCGCAAACUUUCGAUCAAGUCCUGCUCGGUUUGGGGGCGAACUCGUAUUUUUUGGACCGUCAAGUAUUCGCGUGCGCACAGACACCCCCGCCGCGGACUGGAUGUCUGUGCAAGAUCUGCAACUGGUCUUCGAUCCUAAGCAGCUAGCACCUUUCCACGCUACUCGCUGGCAACGCAACUCCAGCCUGGACCCCUCCAUCACCUCCAAAGAUCAACGCUUCAUGCAUGUCGCAAAAUACUUCCCGACUUCCCCCACAGCCAACAUAGGCCCAUCAUCACCCACGUCGGCACCGAAAUCCCUGUGAUUCUGUCAAAACGAAUCCCACGGUGGAAUCUGGCCAAAGCCAACCGGGACAGCUAUAGGGAAUCCAUCGAAAACGUGGUGACACUGGCAUGUUAUCACCGGUUUGUUGGCCGCUUACCACCGCCAAGAAGAGCAUCUCUGGGGGCUUCCAGGAAGAAAACACUCCCUGCUGGACAAAAGAGACCCAGGAUCUGCUCCAGCAGUACAACCAGUCGGGCAGCCCACAGGUUACAAAGGCCCUGCUAGGUUCUCUAGACUGAGCCAGUUCAAGGACUGGACUUCACACACUCAAGUCACCAUGUCUGGGUCCUACUAUGACAUCUCGGAGCCACUAAUUGGACAGAAUAUCAAAUCUCAAAAGUUCAGCCCAACUCCAUAGCCUCCAAAUUGGUGGAGAGCACCAAAACACCAAAACACCAAGCAAGAGAUCCAUCAUCAGCUACACCAGCCAAUGACUUCAGUCCCUCCACACGACGCCACCACCAUCAGCACAGAAGAAGUGAAGAAGGGUUUAGCCACAACGAAGAAAGGGAAGGCGGCCGGCGGAGAUGGUAUCUCCCUGGAAUUUCUUCAUCAAGUAGGUCUCAAGGGACUCCAAUGGCUGGCGAAAUGUUACACCAAAACCAUCCCAAAAGCCCGGUAGGAGGCAAUCGUCGGUGCCAUAUUCCAACCGGGGAAGCUGACUGACGACCCGGGAAGCUUGAAGCCGAUAUCACUCCUGUGCAUGACUUACAAACCCUGGGACGUAUCAUCCUCCACAGAAUCUGCUCUCCCAUCGACUCAGUGAUCCCCGAAGAACAAGGGGGAUUCCAGCGUAAACGCA